RNAcentral lists this ribosomal RNA (211 nucleotides) under uncultured Staphylococcus sp. RNAcentral describes it as "partial 16S ribosomal RNA". It matches the Rfam family "Bacterial small subunit ribosomal RNA", at positions 150 to 354 of the family's 1533-position model. Lineage: Bacteria; Bacillati; Bacillota; Bacilli; Caryophanales; Staphylococcaceae. The record is from RNAcentral.
CGGGAAACCGGAGCUAAUACCGAUAAUAUAUUGAACCGCAUGGUUCAAUAGUGAAAGACGGUUUUGCUGUCACUUAUAGAUGGAUCCGCGCUGCAUUAGCUAGUUGGUAAGGUAACGGCUUACCAAGGCAACGAUGCGUAGCCGACCUGAGAGGGUGAUCGGCCACACUGGAACUGAGACACGGUCCAGACUCCUACGGGAGGCAGCAGGU